RNAcentral lists this long non-coding RNA (586 nucleotides) under Oryza brachyantha (malo sina). RNAcentral describes it as "long non-coding RNA (OBRA_LNC001308)". Lineage: Eukaryota; Viridiplantae; Streptophyta; Magnoliopsida; Poales; Poaceae. The record is from RNAcentral.
GUCCAGCAGCUGCAGACUCUGAUGAACACAACAGAUAUAUCUAUAUACAUAGAUAGAUAAGAUAGCUCCUCCGAAGAAUAUUCACCAGGAAGAUCAUACAAGAUAUGAAAAUGAAAUGUAAAUGCGAAGAGUUUGUGUGAAACUAUGAAUGUUCAUACCAAGGAUAUGGUAUGGAUAUUCACUGUCACAAGUGUAUACCAUAGAAAUGAAGUAGAUCAUAAUUGUGAUUUGUGAUAUCUUGUUCUUGCGUCCGAAAUCUCCUCAUUUAACAAGAAGAAAAGGUGCCCAAUGAUUUGGGUUUGCCUAGAAACAAGAAUCGGCUGAGAACAUGAAUGUUUCAACGACAAUUUUUGUGGGCAGUAAAACACAUGAGACUGGAUUAAUCAGUGAAUCUCCAUGCAAGGAGCUAACCUCAUGUCUUGAAGACAUCUCCUCAGAUUGAUCUCAACUUCAGAACAAAAUUCACAAGGAGACCUGCCAGCUUGAUUAGGAUGAAGAUAAACUCUCCCAAAUGAAUCACAAAUCAACAGAUUAAACAGUAAUUCCCUACAUGUUUGUCAGCAUCAUGAACAUUGACUUAGUUGAG